AACCAUUCUCACCUGCGGCUAGACCUGCGGAAGGAUCAUUACAUGGCGGAGAAGGUGGGCACCUGGCCAAAAAAAACUCCAGGUUGUCAUGCCUUCACGCUCUUCCACCCUUGUCUAUUUGUACCUUUUGUCGUUCCCUCGGCGGGUUUCGACCCGCCGGCGGUAACCAUUGAAAACCCUUUUUGCAGUUUAGCAUCCAAUUCUUCUGAUCAAAUAUCAAAUCGUUACAACUUUCAGCAA
RNAcentral lists this unclassified non-coding RNA (240 nucleotides) under soil metagenome. RNAcentral's name for it is "partial contains 5.8S ribosomal RNA, internal transcribed spacer 2, and large subunit ribosomal RNA". The record is from RNAcentral.